This 445-nucleotide ribosomal RNA is filed under the name uncultured bacterium. RNAcentral's name for it is "partial 16S ribosomal RNA". It matches the Rfam family "Bacterial small subunit ribosomal RNA", at positions 354 to 796 of the family's 1533-position model. The record is from RNAcentral.
GUGAGGAAUAUUGGACAAUGGGCGCAAGCCUGAUCCAGCCAUGCCGCGUGCAGGAAGACGCAUCUAUGGUGUGUAAACUGCUUUUGUACGGGAAGAAACACUCCCUCGUGAGGGAGCUUGACGGUACCGUAAGAAUAAGGAUCGGCUAACUCCGUGCCAGCAGCCGCGGUAAUACGGAGGAUCCAAGCGUUAUCCGGAAUCAUUGGGUUUAAAGGGUCCGUAGGCGGUUUAAUAAGUCAGUGGUGAAAGCCCACCGCUCAACGAUGGAACGGCCAUUGAUACUGUUAGACUUGAAUUACAAGGAAGUAACUAGAAUAUGUAGUGUAGCGGUGAAAUGCUUAGAUAUUACAUGGAAUACCAAUUGCGAAGGCAGGUUACUACUUGUGGAUUGACGCUGAAGGACGAAAGCGUGGGGAGCGAACAGGAUUAGAAACCCGGGUAGUCC